This 74-nucleotide transfer RNA is filed under the name Nanobdellota archaeon. RNAcentral describes it as "tRNA-Arg". It matches the Rfam family "tRNA". From Rfam's summary of the family: Transfer RNA (tRNA) molecules are approximately 80 nucleotides in length. Their secondary structure includes four short double-helical elements and three loops (D, anti-codon, and T loops). Lineage: Archaea; Nanobdellati; Nanobdellota. The record is from RNAcentral.
GGGCCCGUAGUUUAGCCUGGAUAGAAUGGCCGGCUUCGGACCGGCAGAGGGGGGUUCGAAUCCUCCCGGGCUCA